This 483-nucleotide ribosomal RNA is filed under the name uncultured bacterium. RNAcentral's name for it is "partial 16S ribosomal RNA". It matches the Rfam family "Bacterial small subunit ribosomal RNA", at positions 28 to 507 of the family's 1533-position model. The record is from RNAcentral.
GAUGAACGCUAGCGGCAGGCCUAAUACAUGCAAGCCGAACGGCAAGACUGAUAGCAAUAUUUGAUAUAGAGUGGCGCAAGGGUGCGUAACACGUAUGCAACCUGACCGCGACAGGCGGAUAGCUUCACGAAAGGGGAAUUAACCUACCAUAACACCAUGAGAACGCAUCUGAUCAUGGUUAAACCGCAAGUGGCCGCGGAUGGGCAUGCGGUUGAUUAGUUAGUUGGCGGGGUAAAGGCGCACCAAGGAGGUGAUCAAUCGGGGCUCUGUGAGGAUGGUCCCCCGCACUGGGACUGGGACACGGGCCAGACUCGUACGAGAGGCAGGAGUAGGGGGUAAUGGAGCGUGGGUGCGAGACUGAUCCAGCCAUGCCGCGUGGAGGAAGAAGGCCUUCUGAGGCGUAUACUGCGUGUACGUAUAGAUAAAAUACCCGUGCGCGGGGAAUUGAAGGUAACAGGGGAAUAAGCCACGGCUAACUACGUG